This 457-nucleotide ribosomal RNA is filed under the name uncultured bacterium. RNAcentral's name for it is "SSU rRNA". It matches the Rfam family "Bacterial small subunit ribosomal RNA", at positions 1 to 464 of the family's 1533-position model. The record is from RNAcentral.
CCUUAGAGUUUGAUCCUGGCUCAGAUUGAACGCUGGCGGCAUGCCUAACACAUGCAAGUCGAACGGUAACAGGCCUUCGGGCGCUGACGAGUGGCGGACGGGUGAGUAAUACGUAGGAAUCUGCCCAUUAGUGGGGGAUAACCCGGCGAAAGCCGGGCUAAUACCGCAUACGCCCUACGGGGGAAAGCGGGGGAUCGCAAGACCUCGCGCUAUUGGAUGAGCCUACGUCGGAUUAGCUAGUUGGUAGGGUAACGGCCUACCAAGGCGACGAUCCGUAGCUGGUCUGAGAGGACGAUCAGCCACACUGGGACUGAGACACGGCCCAGACUCCUACGGGAGGCAGCAGUGGGGAAUACUUGGACAAUGGGGGAAACCCUGAUCCAGCAAUGCCGCGUGUGUGAAGAAGGCCUUCGGGUUGUAAAGCACUUUCGAUAGGGAAGAAAAGCUGGUUGUGAAU